CGGGGCUUUAAAUUAGGCCACUUUCCAUCAACCACGGUCACAUUCACAUUACCUCAAACUUUUUGUGUCUGUUAUCUGCUCGACGUAUUCACUAUUGACUGGAGAAUAGAUUCCAAUUGCUGCUCCAUUGGGAGCUCUUCAAGCUUUUCGCUGCACAAAUCUUGUUCAUUCUUCUUCUCAUGUUCAAGUUUUUCUUUUGCUUGAAAUAACAUUAUUUCCUUCUGUUUUUUAAUUAUCAUCAUGCCCAUCACCAAGUGUUGGCCUUCGCUCUCUUCCUCUAAUGCUGAUUAGCUCAGACUGAAACGCAUUGAAUGCUUUAUUAAAUUGAGCCGAAUUGAUUUCAUCUUCAUGUUCAUCGCCCAGCUUCUGUCUACCAGACCUUCCACCUCUCUUUUUCUGUGAAAAAUGUUUUAAAUGCUGUAAUUAUUUCACUUUCUUCUUUAUCUGGACAAUCACCCUUUAAUGAAAACACCGGUUUUUGCCAUUAAUUCCUUGCUGUCUUUGAUACCCCACCUCCUCUAAUCCUCUCUCUUUAGACCCACCAUUUUUAAAGAAAGCUUUUUCGUAACGUUUUUGAACCCAAUUCAAUAUCCUUCAAUCUUUGUUCUUUCAAACACAUGACCAAGAGUAACAGUAGCAGCAACACCGCAUCUCCACAACACCACCAGGACACAAUGACCCACUUGGACUUGUGCAAGAAAUUCAAACGCUUGAAUCCUCUUGAGCCCUCUCUUGGCAUUCUUGGUUUCCUUCUGGUCACUCUCCUUUUCAUUGGCUGCUUCUUCUACUUGGAUUACCGAUCUGUCACUCGUGGCCUGCGGCACCAUGGGGUUUCUUGGCUGGGACUGGUUACUCCAUCUUCAUCAUCACAACUGAAUACUGAUAAUGGACGGCCGGGUUUUCUUGAUAAGCGUGGUGUUGGGUGUGACAUUUUUGAUGGGAACUGGAUUUGGGACGAUAGCUAUCCCUUGUAUCAGAGUAAAGAUUGCUCCUUUAUAGAUACUGGGUUUAGGUGUUUAGAGAAUGGAAGGCCUGAUAGUUUCUACACCAAGUGGCGUUGGCAACCCAAUCAUUGUGACUUGCCGAGAUUUGAUGCAAAGGUGAUGUUGGAAAAGCUGAGGAACAGGCGGCUUGUAUUUGUUGGGGACUCAGUUGGAAGAAACCAAUGGGAGUCCCUCCUUUGUAUGCUUGCCACUGCUGUUCGUGACAAUUCUUCAAUCUAUGAGGUGAAUGGGAGGCCAAUCACAAAGCAUAGAGGGUUUCUAGCGUUCAUGUUCAAGGACUAUAAUUGCACUGUUGAAUAUUACAGAGCUCCAUUUCUAAUUUACCAGGGCCGUCCUCCAGUUGGUGCUCCAGAAAAGGUGAAAAUGACUUUAAGAGUAGAUAAAUUGGAUUGGACUGCCCCUCAGUGGAGAAAUGCGGAUGUGUUGAUUUUCAACUCUGGUCAUUGGUGGAAUUAUGAGAAGACCAUAAGAGUGUAAAUACAACUUAUCUUAUACCCUCUUCUUCUUUUUAUUUCUUUUAAUCCCAUGCUCCCAUUACUUGGGGAUAUUGAGCAAAAUAUCUUAUGAUAGUUUCACUAAAAGAGUUAUAAAGAGAUGAAUGUGAUGUUUAGGUAGCACAUGCAUCUGCUCAGUAUAGAAACUUAGGCCUUAUAAGGUGGCCAAAGGUAUGUCCAUUUUGUAGAUGGGUGCAGGGAGAGAAGUUCCAAAAACAUUAUUCCUUUAUUUUUGCUUGUUCAGGUUGGGAACUAAGGAAUCUAUCAAAAUCCCAUUUAACCCUUUAUCAUUGAAGCCAAGCCCCAAGGGCUUAUGUUGUCUAUAGUAUGUAUAGUGGUCAUUGAGAUAAUGACGCUCAGAACUACUAGAUCAGAUUCUCCCAGGUUUAUACCUUUUAAAGUUUAGACAGAAGAAUUUCAGAAGAAAAAAAAAUGCAAAAGAAUCUUUGUACGUUACUUUUUUAUUGUGCUGAUGUAUUACCAACCAGUUGUCACCUCUUCCCACAAUAAUAUUUCCACCUUCUUAUUGUUGCCACUAUGAAAACACACAUAUUACCUACAAUGUUAUCACCAAUACCAUUAGCACUGUUCUGCUAUCAUCACCAUACCACUUGUGUCCUGCACACUGCCAUUGUCCUUUACGCAUUCUGGCCUUCGCAACAAAAUUGGAAAUGAAUUGAAUAUGACCUACCUACCUCUCUUUCUUUCUCUGAACUCCACUGGAUGAAGAUCACUGCAGGAAUAGUUGGCAACCUUGAUAGAAGUGAAGUCAGAUCAGAGUUAUCAUGGUGGGUGAAACUAACAAGAAGUUGGCUGAUAAUGCCUUAUUAACAUUCCUUAGUUUUAGAAGGGGAAUAGUUGAGCUCUGUUUUCUUGCUUUCUUCUUAACUUCUCUAUUUUUUCAGUGACCUUUGUUGUCUUUAUAAGAUCCUGGUACAAGUCUUAAGGAAGCCACAUUAUUGAGAUUUUGAAACAGUGACCAUAAAUUUAGAGGUUUUCACUCAGGUUUGCAUACUUAAUACUGUUUGAAAGCUGAAGGAAAUUGUGAUCUGUUUGUCCUAUUAUGAUUAUGGUAUUGAUAUUUGAUCUUUGGUUUGUGUUAUUCGUUAGGGAUUGCUACUUCCAAGAGGGGGAUGAGGUAAAGAUGGAUAUGAGCGUUGAAACUGCAUACCGAAGAUCACUUGAAACUUUGAUUGAUUGGAUACGUAGCAAAAUAAAUGUGAGCAAGACCCAAGUCCUCUUUCGAACCUAUGCUCCUGUUCAUUUCAGGUUUGUCUCAUUAUUAAUUUAUUCUUUGUCUGAAACUGUCUUUUUAAUUUUCCUCACAUGGUAUAUCAGUUUGACUUGGUUUUUAGAGACAAUGAUGUAAAUAUAUCCUUUAAGCAAUUCAAGAUUUAUUCAUAAUUAACUUAUCACUAAAAUAUUUGAACUGCCAUAUAUUUUAUGAAUGCUUACAUCAUCACCACGGACUGGACCCUAUAAAGUUUUUAAACAAAACAUAUAAAUCAUGUAAUCUUGUGAUUGUGGGGGUGAACCUUAAUUCAUUCCUCACUUUCAUCUGGCACAAUGAAGAAUUAGGAGGUCAACAGACUUUUGAGAUCAUGCCUAGGGCUGGUCAUGGGCUGGUUCCUGUUCACCAGGAGCAUGAACCUGAACUGGCCCUCAAGGUCCUUCCACAGUUCCCUCUUGGUUCAACCUGAUUUGGUCAGGUUUUAAUCAAAUCCAAUGGUCCAUUUUUUUUUUAAUUUUUUAAAUGCAAAAAAAUCCAGUUUUAGCCCUGAAUUGAAUUGGCCAAUUCUAGUCCAAUUCAGUCAUGAUUUAAGUCAAUCAUAGUUUUGACCGGUUUUGGUCCAGUUCUGACCUGGCCUGGGGCCGGGUCUAGCAAUGCCUUUACAUAUUCUCAUCCUAUACCUGAACCAAGAUGUUAUAGAAGUUAUAUUAUCAUCAUCAUGCAACUAACCUGUUAUGUAACAGAGGUGGCGACUGGAAGACUGGUGGUAGCUGUCACAUGGAAAAGCUUCCUGACUUGGGCUCACUGCCGAGUUCAUCAGAUUACCAUUUCAAAAUACUUUUCGAUGUGUUAUUAGAGCACUCAAAUGAAUCACAUGUGAUGAACUUGGAUUUAUUGAAUGUGACGAACAUGGCAGCACAGAGAAAGGAUGGCCAUGCAUCUGUGUACUAUCUAGAGCCUGGAAUUGGUCCAGCUUCUCUACACCGUCAAGACUGCAGUCAUUGGUGCUUGCCUGGUGUCCCUGAUUCCUGGAAUGAACUUCUUUAUGCAUUUCUUCUCAAGCGGGAGUCUGCUCAUGCACAAAAUUCAACAGAAUCUUCUCAAGCUCCAUUGUGAUUAGUACAGAUAGCUUUCUGAUUUUUCCAACAUGAUUAGAGUGCAGGUUCCUUGCACCAACCGGCAAAAUCAUCAUUUUGUAUAUUGGUUUCUAUUUGAUCAAUCAUAGUUUGCCAUAACACCUCUGGCAAACGAUCGAAUUAUACUAUUUUUGGCGAUGGUCUUCCGUCCCUCUAUCUUGAAUGUUCCAUGAUGGUGAUUGAACAGAAGAUGAGCCUAAUAGGCAUCAAGAGAGGUGAGAGAAUCAUGGCAGCGGAUUUGUAGUACAGGCAAGUUGACGAAACAAAGUUGAUACUCAGGAAGAGGUAUACACAAGCAUGUUUAUUCUUGUUACAUGGUUUAUUUCAUAGAAAUAGAAAUAGAAGAAGAAAAAAAUGUCAAUUAUGACACCAUGUGCACUGUAUGUAGAGCAAAUACUGAAAUUUUAGAAGUAAAUUUGCUUCUUUUCUUCUCUCUUUUUUAGUUUUUUUUUAAUUAUUAUUACUUUAGUUCAUUAUUAUUGUUUAAGAACGGUUUCAUCUAUAAUAUAGAAAUGAUGCAUACUUAAAACUGUCUUCAUUAAUUCUGAACCUUGCAUGUUCAGACCUUAGGGGUAAGUUUUAUUAUGUUAGGUGAUUUUUGGCUACAAAAAUAAAUGAAAUUUUGUGAUAACAAAACGUUGCA
Molecule: unclassified non-coding RNA, 4508 nt
Filed under: Hevea brasiliensis (rubber tree)
Lineage: Eukaryota; Viridiplantae; Streptophyta; Magnoliopsida; Malpighiales; Euphorbiaceae
Source: RNAcentral